Long non-coding RNA from Xyrauchen texanus (razorback sucker), 348 nucleotides. RefSeq lists it as uncharacterized. NCBI's taxonomy places the organism in Eukaryota, Metazoa, Chordata, Actinopteri, Cypriniformes, Catostomidae. The record is from RefSeq and is a predicted model, not a curated record. The transcript has 3 exons.
GCUGGAUUCAACCGAUUCAACUCGAUGCCCCGCUUCUCCAAAGUCCCCGCGACGCUACCAGAAUGCAUUGCACGGCUGCUCCCAUUGAAAUGAGUGCUGACGGACACAUGUUCGUGCUGCACAUCGUUUGACAUCCUUCAUCUUCAUACAAGUGAUUUAGAACAAGUUCUGUCCCGGUGUCUGUGCUCUGAGAUGUGCAUGUACCUCAUGCAAUACAUGAUCGAUAGGGAGUUCCAUCGCAUAUCAACUUUACCUCUACUUUCUACAUUCUGUGCUGCUCUCGACGAGUACACUACGCGCCUGAUGGAGAUAUUUCAAUGCAAAGGUGGAGCAGCUGGAAGAAAAAUA